CCUACGGGAGGCUGCAGUAGGGAAUCUUUCACAAUGGGCGAAAGCCUGAUGGAGCAACGCCGCGUGCAUGAUGAAGGCCUUCGGGUUGUAAACUGCUUUUAUAAGCGAGGAUUAUGAUGGUAACUUAUGAAGAAGGAUCGGCUAACUACGUGCCAGCAGCCGCGGUCAUACGUAGGAUCCGAGCAUUAUCCGGAGUGACUGGGUGUAAAGAGUUGCGUAGGUGGCAUAAUAAGUAGCUAGUGAAAUCUGGUGGCCCAACCAUUCAGACUAUUAGGUAAACUGUUAAGCUCGAGAACGUUAGGGGUAACUGGAAUAUCUAGUGUAGGAGUGAAAUCCGUAGAUAUUAGAAGGAACACCAAUAGCGUAGGCAGGUUGCUGGGACGUUUCUGACACUAAGGCACGAAAGCGUAGGGAGCAAACGGGAUUAGAUACCCUUGUAGUC
Molecule: ribosomal RNA, 442 nt
Filed under: uncultured bacterium
Lineage: Bacteria
Description: partial 16S ribosomal RNA
Rfam family: Bacterial small subunit ribosomal RNA
Source: RNAcentral